This 748-nucleotide unclassified non-coding RNA is filed under the name uncultured Frankia sp. Its description in RNAcentral is "bacterial SSU rRNA". The stretch from base 1 to 422 matches the Rfam family "Bacterial small subunit ribosomal RNA", at positions 1104 to 1533 of the family's 1533-position model. Lineage: Bacteria; Bacillati; Actinomycetota; Actinomycetes; Frankiales; Frankiaceae. The record is from RNAcentral.
CUCGUCCUAUGUUGCCAGCGAGUUCGGGGACUCAUAGGAGACUGCCGGGGUCAACUCGGAGGAAGGUGGGGAUGACGUCAAGUCAUCAUGCCCCUUACGUCCUGGGCUGCACACAUGCUACAAUGGCCGGUACAAAGGGCUGCGAUGCCGCGAGGUGGAGCGAAUCCCAAAAAGCCGGUCUCAGUUCGGAUCGGGGUCUGCAACUCGACCCCGUGAAGUCGGAGUCGCUAGUAAUCGCAGAUCAGCAAUGCUGCGGUGAAUACGUUCCCGGGCCUUGUACACACCGCCCGUCACGUCACGAAAGUCGGUAACACCCGAAGCCGGUGGCCUAACCCUGGGAGCCGUCGAAGGUGGGACCGGCGAUUGGGACGAAGUCGUAACAAGGUAGCCGUACCGGAAGGUGCGGCUGGAUCACCUCCUUUCUAAGGAGCGUGUCUGUCCUGUUAUGGGCUGGUUCAGGGCCAGGGCCGGAUGUGCAUGCCGGUCUGGUUGCUCAUGGGUGGAACGCUGACGGCUGCUGGUUGGCCUGCUGUGUCUAGUACGGGUGGAACGGGCUGGUGGGGGUGGUGGUUCGUGGCACGUUGGGUCCUGAGGGAGUGAGGCCCCUUCUGCAUGAUCCGGGGGUUGUGGUGGUGGGGGUCUGCUGGUGCGGACAGGGGGACUGCGUGGGGGUGGGGUGUCGGGGGGCCGUCCGUACGUUGAGAACUGCACAGUGGACGCGAUCUUUGUGGCCAAGUUAUUAAGGGCG